AACAUAACAGAAACGGUCAAAGACUCUCACUUAACUAUCUUCCAACCGCCUUGCCUCCCUCUCCGCCCCCCUCUCCUUGUACGUCUCUUUACAUUUCUCCUCCAGCUGUGCCCUCAUCCAUGUUACCACGUUGGACAGUUUGCAGCUAGCAGCACAAGAGGCAGUGGGGGGUGGUGGAGGAUUUGUGCCAUGGAGGUUUGUAUGUCUCAACACUCCAUAAGAAAGCACCAUAAUGUUGAUCAUUUCCAUCAAUGUUCUCAGAUUGUGAGGUGAAUACUUGCCUGCCUAAUUUGAUAGAGAGAGAGAGAGAGAGAGAGAGAGAGAGAGAGACGGGCUACAGGAGAAGCGUGGGAGUUUUAGAGUACUUUAAUUUCAGUGACCUUCCUUUUUUCAUGCAGUCUGGCUGGGCUGCAAGUCUACAAGUCUACGCAGACAGUCGUGGUGGGGACUCGACAGACGAGGACGAGGCACAUCCUGGACUGGUCGCCGGUCCAUCGCAGGAAAGACAUCCCCGUCGUAUUUAUACACCCACGGACAAAUUAUACCCUAACUCGCAUGAGGAAGUCGUAAGACGAACCCACACAGGCACGUUUAGAACAUGCACACUCCCUCCAGUGCAGCGCUAUGCACAUUUGAACUGAGGACCUCCAUUCUGUGAGGCAAACCACCGUUCCACCCUGCCAAGUAGGGUUUGGGUAAGAAAAUUGAACCUUUGUUUUUCUUUCCCCAUACUGAAUACAUAUCACGUUACCUCUCCAAAUGUGAGUGAGAAACAACACCCGAUUCUUGAAGCAGUUUUGUCUCCCACCCAAAGGCUUCCUCGUUUCUCUAUGAAUGUAGAUAUACUUGUGUUCCUUGUCACAAUCAGAUCAUGUUGAAACGAUACCCCCCACAUGGUUGAACCCAAGCUAGAAGCUCCUGGUAAAAGAACGUGAGGAUGUAGCAAAAUGAACCGAGAAAGCUAAAAACACAAACUUCCACGCGGCUGGUUGGACGUGUGGGAAGAAGGUAUGAGAUGACAGGAAAGGCCCGAUGACUCAGACAGGAAGUUUCAAGCACCUGAGAAGAUGACAGCUUGACCCCCUGAGUCCGCCUUCACACAGCUGGCCCUCUAAGAGGGUCCGGGGGGGUCCGGCUGAAGGUCCACUAAGCCCCUCACAGUCCAUAUGGCCAGGGGGGCUUACGCACCCCGCGAUGACACGAGAAGGCGAGCCCAGAGGCUGGAAACGCGGCGCGGAGACAUUCAGAGAUGUGCGCUCAUGUGCGACACACUCUAGGAAAGGCCUCAUUUGUGUGAGCCCACGCACAUGUUUGGAUAACCACUUGUCUGGCUGCAAGGCGAGAGCGGGGGAAACUAACUCUACAGGAUGUGUGGCAUGGUGGAAUGUGUGCGUGUGUGUGUGUGUGUGUCAGGGUAAAUAAAGGAAGAGCAAUAAUGACUGUGAGUCAUAUGAUCCGGCUGCACGGUCAUACUAAUGGCAUUAGCCCCAUCGAGAGACCUGCAGGACUCCUCCUGUCCUUCUUGUCGCUGUGUUUCCUCCUCUCCUCUUCUCAGUUUCCUUCUCCUCGGUCCAACACGUCUUCCUCUCCGUCACUCAGCUUGUUUAUUGAUCUGUUUUAGAUUGUUCUAGACACACUGCC
Long non-coding RNA from Gasterosteus aculeatus aculeatus (three-spined stickleback), 1641 nucleotides. Lineage: Eukaryota; Metazoa; Chordata; Actinopteri; Perciformes; Gasterosteidae. The record is from Ensembl.